UCAGGCCUAACACAUGCAAGUCGAGCGGCAGCGGGAAAGUAGCUUGCUACUUUUGCCGGCGAGCGGCGGACGGGUGAGUAAUGCCUGGGAAAUUGCCCAGUCGAGGGGGAUAACAGUUGGAAACGACUGCUAAUACCGCAUACGCCCUACGGGGGAAAGCAGGGGACCUUCGGGCCUUGCGCGAUUGGAUAUGCCCAGGUGGGAUUAGCUAGUUGGUGAGGUAAUGGCUCACCAAGGCGACGAUCCCUAGCUGGUCUGAGAGGAUGAUCAGCCACACUGGAACUGAGACACGGUCCAGACUCCUACGGGAGGCAGCAGUGGGGAAUAUAGCACAAUGGGGGAAACCCUGAUGCAGCCAAGCCGCGUGUGUGAAGAAGGCCUUCGGGUUUAAAGCAAUUGAGCGAGGAGGAAAGGUUGAUGCCUAAUAC
This 428-nucleotide ribosomal RNA is filed under the name uncultured bacterium. RNAcentral describes it as "bacterial SSU rRNA". It matches the Rfam family "Bacterial small subunit ribosomal RNA", at positions 42 to 465 of the family's 1533-position model. The record is from RNAcentral.